AUUGAACGCUGGCGGCAGGCCUAACACAUGCAAGUCGAACGGUAACAGGAAGAAGCUUGCUUCUUUGCUGACGAGUGGCGGACGGGUGAGUAAUGUCUGGGAAACUGCCUGAUGGAGGGGGAUAACUACUGGAAACGGUAGCUAAUACCGCAUAACGUCGCAAGACCAAAGAGGGGAACCUUCGGGCCUCUUGCCAUCGGAUGUGCCCAGAUGGGAUUAGCUAGUAGGUGGGGUAACGGCUCACCUAGGCGACGAUCCCUAGCUGGUCUGAGAGGAUGACCAGCCACACCGGAACUGAGACACGGUCCAGACGCCUACGGGAGGCAGCAGUGGGGAAUAUUGUACAAUGGGCGCAAGCCUGAUGCAGCCAUGCCGCGUGUAUGAAGAAGGCCUUCGGGUGGUAAAGUACUCUCAGCGGGGAGGAAGGGAGUAAAGUUAAUACCUUAGCUCAUUGACGUUGCCCGCAGAAGAAGCACCGGCUAACUCCGUG
Molecule: ribosomal RNA, 490 nt
Filed under: uncultured bacterium
Lineage: Bacteria
Description: partial 16S ribosomal RNA
Rfam family: Bacterial small subunit ribosomal RNA
Source: RNAcentral